AAGGCAGCAGCCCCAAGCUGUGCCCAGGUGGUCAGAGGAUACUCCUCCUGUCAUCACUGAGGGCUUUAUUCUCAGUUGUGCAGUUGCAGUAGCAGUGCCAUACAGCACAGGUUUCCGUGGAGCCAUUCAUCAUUCAUAGCUGGGAUCACAGAACACUUCACAGCCAAUUACAAGGCUACACAUGCAGGGAAUGGCAUCAGCUGCCUAGCCGAAGUUAAGCUUCCAGCUGGUUUCUGGGCUCACUCAGAGGAUGCUAAGGAUUUGGGGAAUGAAUGACAGCAUCAGACCUGACCUCUCUCCUGCUGACCCAAAAGAUGUCUCUGAGAUAUUCAGAGAUGAUGUUUUCUGGCGCCUUGAACACAAAAUGGGCACAAAAGUGAUCUCCUAAUAGCCCAUUCCGGAUUUUCUUCGACAGCAGCUUUAUGAAGGCAGGAAGCAACUGGAAUUGAACUGAGCAGUUCUGAAAAUACCAGGGAGCACUACAGCCAAAGACAAAACACAAACCAAAGGGGAGCUCAAAACUAAAGCAAAACCCAAACAGAUCUUUAGAUCACUUUCCAUAUUCUGUGAUAUGUCCAAGACCUUUUGAGUGUGAGUUUCAACGCACGUGUAGUUAAGAUUCCUAGAAGAUAUGCAAUCCAGAGAUGUCAGAAACACAGACAGGAACAAAUCAUGUGGUAUUUUAUGGGCAUGCAGGGACUGCCAGCUUGGAUGAAACAUACCUAAUUUUUAAGGGUCCUCAAAUGAUCCAUAUGGCUAAAAUGAAAUUCUGUUUGCAUCAACCCUAACAUGUUCGGUGCCUGAUUUUGUGAUCUGUGUGCUGAGCACUGCUUUACAUAGUUAUUCCUGUGGACUUCAGCAGAGCAACCUGCUGGUUAGGAUGCUCAGGGGAAGACCAGCAGAAUUGGACCUAAGCAAAUAUUUGCCAAGACUUUUAAAUGUACAAACCCCAUUUGGCUUAGAAAAACCACUCCAGCCUGCUGCGAUGUCUUCGAACUAAAGUAACAGAUUCCAUCUCUAGACUGAGAGCAUUUAUGACACGUUUGAAUUUAUUUGCCAUUUUUCUGUACAAGCUAAUGCUGAUGCCAGUAAAUAUUUAAACUUGGAGGUAAUGAAAUUGCAACAUGCCUUUUAGUUAAAACCAAAGCAUAUGCGAGCCUAGAUGGCAGGCAGAAAUUGCCCUCCAAUUCUUUUAGCAGGGAUUAUCUGGAGCUAAAUCAGAAUAGUUCAACAUAUAUCCAGCUUCUGUGUAGUUAUAAAGCUGCAUUAUUAGGGCAUUCUGCGCAGUACAAAGAGCAAGAGGACUUGUUUUUCAGCUGGUGUAAAUCACCACUGACAUCUACGGAGCUACUUAAGAGGCACAUCAGCUGAAGCUUUGGCCCACAGUCAUCAGAAAUGUGCAGCCAUCAUUCACUCCAUAUGUAAAACCCUCAGUGGUGGAAGUGCAGAGUGACAGUGUAAUCGACAUCAGAUAAAAAGCUGCUCUGUUAGCCUAGUUUCUGAUAACGCUUUGCCAGACUGUGUGGUCUAAAGUAGUUUUAUGAUGUGCUCUAUACUGCAUAGCUUUGCAAAAUACAGUAUUUCCUUACAGGCAAGGAUUAUGGUACAUUAAUCAUUUUAUUGGCAUGAUCAGUAAAAAAGGCAUGAAGAUAAAAGCUUUGGGAGUUUAUCUGCAUAGAGAUAUAUUGGCAAAAAUUAGUCUGGGGUUAGAAGGUUUGCUCUUGUGUGCAUAUUGGAUUAACUCCACUGAAAUCAGUAUUCCUAGACCAGUUUACACCAGUUGAGGAACUUGUACUCUGCCUCUGUCAUAAGUAAAGCAUGUUCAGGUGUUGUCCACUAUGCAGUUCGUUCAUGAAUUUAAGGGUAAAUGCCUCCUGCCAGUGAGUCAAAGCUUCUUCCUGUCUGUAGCUUCAUGGUGUCACUGAAGUCAGUGAUGGUUUCCCUGAGCAAGGGCUGAGUCAACACCCAGUCUGGUUGAAGAGCAAGCCUGCUUGCAGUUAUCCCAGCUCUGGUCCAGAGUCAUUGAAGUAAUUUCAGUGGGGUGAGUGCUCAACCAGAACAAAACCAGGUGUAAUUCCACUCAAUUAACUGGGUUAGUGCAACUGAAGUUCUGGCUCAAUAAACUUUGAUAAUGCUAUGCCAUUUCCAUUAACCAGCUUCUCCUUUGCUAAACAGUGCUCAGCAAGCUCUGUAAGACUCAUAUGAUUGCCAUACGACAGCAGAAUUUGGUCUCAUGAAUUCCACAGGCUGAGCCAAGUUACUUUACAUUUGCUUAGCUCAAGGUUUGGUCGAUUGUAGUUACUGUGUCUGUUAGAACAAUGAAAUUCACUUCAGAAUCUGACUUUAAUUCAGCGAAGGAAACCGAGUAAAAAUUAGGGCCAUCUCUUUUGGAUGGGUUUUCAGUGGAGUUACAACAGGGUGACACACACAAGUGUGAGUACACUCAUACAAGUGUGAGUACACUCACACUGUCAGCACAGACAGCUUACAGAACUUGCAUAGAGGGGAACACAGUUAAAACAAAGAAGAAAACAAGUCUCAAACAGCUGCAUCAUCCACUCACAUGGCUUUUACCACUGGCAUCAGCAGGACUCACCUAGAGCCCUGUAAGCAAGAGCAGCUCUAUGGACAUCCCAAUUAAAACAGCAACUCUGCAUGCAGUGAAUAUUGCCUCAGUUGGUGUUUCCAGCUGCAAUGCAAGUAAAAGUGAGUGCUCAAAUCCAAGUCCCAUUUGUAGCCACAGAGGAUGAAGACCUAAAAGCAAUGCAGAGCAAUAAUUCUACUGCAACCAGGUGGUGGGGCUGGGGGGGUCACUCAAUCCUGUUUGGCAGAGCACUUGUUGCUCACUAUGCCUCAUGCACACCAAUGCUAUGGCCAGGGCUACGUGGAGAUGCACACUGCACACAGACCUGCAGUUGUCUAACAUCCUGAGCAGGCUGAGGACUCAGGGAGCUCUGUACAGGUCUACAGCAUGUGAUAGGCAAGGUUGUGUCUCUUCUGUAGCCAUUCUCCAAUGCACUGAGUACACGCAUUGCUACUUGAGCUGGCUGCUGGGUCCCUGGGUUUGGUCCUUGCUGAAGUUGUAUGGGAAAAAUAGUUUAAUUCUAUGGUAGCUUCAGGGCAGUGACAAGCAGUGGCUCUCUGUGACAUGUGGUGACAGCUGUAGGUGGUUUAAGGAAUUGGAUGGUGUCAUAUUUGGAUUUUGUAGGAUACCAUGUUAAAGGUGUUACUUUGCAGGGCAUCUGAACACAGGAGAGUGCCCUUUCCCAAAAUGCACACACAGGUUACAUUUGUAAUGCCAGACCAUAACAACUUGUCCCAGUUUCUUUAAACCACUCUUCAUGUCUUUACCAUUGCCUAAUAUAAUUUAUGGGGUCAAAGAGCUGCCUGAGAUAUUGCUACAUACCCUGUAGUUCUGGGCACUGCUUAUCUUCAUAGUAUUUCUGUUGAAGUGCCUCCUGAUGAAGUCAGGUUUGAUUCUCAUCUGACACCAGUUUUAUGCAGUUUAACUCCUCUGUAGUUAAACUUGCUCUCAUUUUAGUCUGUAGAACCACAGGAUCCCCCUGGCUGUACAGAAGAUCUGAACUCAAGCUCUUCUGACUUCAACAGCUUACCACCACGGGUUUAAACUGGCAUGAGAUGAUCAGACUCAACAAUCUCGGAAGACAAAAGAAACAGACAAAACAGCUUCAAAACAGAACAGCUGAAAUAAAGCUACCGAGUCCAUCGCAAAGGCAGGUCUGAUGAGAACACUGCAGAGAAGAUGGCUACUCUGAAAGGCAGGCAGGAAGAGUCUGCAGUUGGCAGCACAGAUAUCGAAGGAGAGCCUUGCUGAGCUUUUAGCCUAUACAUACACAAUAACAAGUGCUAUAUCUAAAGUAUGGCACUAUAUGCAGUGAGAUCUCUUCAUCUGUUCAUCCCUCAUCAGACAAUACAGAAUGCCAGUAUGCACUGCUGCAUAUGGAGAUCUGGUUAUAUCAAGGAGGCCCAGGAGCAGAACUAGAGGACCUGAGCUGCCC
Long non-coding RNA from Pogoniulus pusillus (Red-fronted tinkerbird), 4019 nucleotides. RefSeq lists it as uncharacterized. The record is from RefSeq and is a predicted model, not a curated record. Lineage: Eukaryota; Metazoa; Chordata; Aves; Piciformes; Lybiidae. The transcript has 3 exons.